Homo sapiens (human) is the source of this 554-nucleotide long non-coding RNA. Ensembl annotates it as MRGPRG antisense RNA 1. Its record names the gene MRGPRG-AS1. Lineage: Eukaryota; Metazoa; Chordata; Mammalia; Primates; Hominidae. The record is from Ensembl.
GUUGCGCAGCAGGCCGCAGGCGUUGGCGGGCAGCGGCACGGCCGGCAGGGUCGGGGUCCACACCAGGGCGCAGAGGACGGCCGAGGCGUGUCUGGGCCGGCAGCCCUGGUAGCAGGCGGGGAAGAGGUCGGAGAGGCAGCGCUCCACGCUGAAGGCCGCCAGCAGCCAGAGCCCCACCGCGAACCACAGGAAGUCAGGGGUUGGGGAGUGCGGCUCGGGCCUUGGCUCCUGUGCCUUGCCAUGGCCGGGCACACGGUGAUGGUGGCCUGUCCUCCGAGCCCAACCAGGGGCAGUGGGAGACCUCGGCCGGGCCCUGGCUUGUGGUGAACACUGGACAGUAAGAUGUUCUUGAUAAGAGAGUUUUUCCUUCCACGGACUGCGUUCCGCAGCUCCUGGGUGGGGUGCAGAGUGUGUCAGCUCAAGCCAGAAAUUCGGUCGUAAAGAUGCUGUUUCUCUUCACGUUUCUCAAAUGGACUUGGCUUCGGAAAUCACUUCUGCAACACAAACCAGCAGCCUGUGCAGCUCUGGGCGGGGGCAUGCCGGCUACCCAGCUC